UACAGAGGGGGCCAGCGUUAUUCGGAAUUAUUGGGCGUAAAGGGCGCGUAGGCGGCUCUGCGUGUCUUUCGUGAAAUCCCUCGGCUCAACUGAGGACGUGCGGAAGAAACUGCAGGGCUGGAGUCCGGGAGAGGAGGGUGGAAUUCCCAGUGUAGCGGUGAAAUGCGUAGAUAUUGGGAGGAACACCGGUGGCGAAGGCGGCCCUCUGGACCGGUACUGACGCUGAUGCGGCGAAAGCGUGGGGAGGCAAACACGGG
This 257-nucleotide ribosomal RNA is filed under the name uncultured bacterium. RNAcentral's name for it is "partial 16S ribosomal RNA". It matches the Rfam family "Bacterial small subunit ribosomal RNA", at positions 524 to 778 of the family's 1533-position model. The record is from RNAcentral.